AGCCACAGGAGAAGAAGCACCAAGAGCAAGAAGCGAAGCCAUCAGAGGUCCUGCACCUGACCUCACCUUUCCGCCUGCAGGUCUGACCAAGUUCCUUUGUGUUUCAGAGGGUCCUCCGCGGAAGGGCAGCUGAAUGGACUCCAAAGCAGCCUUAACCCUGCAGCCUUUGUGCCCAUCACCAGCUCUACAGAUCCUGCUCACACUAAAAUAUGAACCACAAACACACAGAGAAACAACCUGUUCACCACUCCUGGGUGCAUGAUUGAGGGUGAAGCAUCCACCAGCACUUCAAGGGGUCCAUAGUAUUUUUUUUUUUUUGCUGCCUCAAAGUCCCCAAAGCCUUCGAGCAGAAGUGGCAGUAGAUGGUUGCUAAUCAGCCAAUGCAGACUUUCACUGGGACAACAGGAAAGCAGAUCUUCUGGGUUUUGAUGGAACUUGGCAGUGGGGACAUUCAGCUGAUGCAUUAUAUACCCCGUCAGAGCACACUUGUAUCUUUUACCUUCCCUUUGCCCCAUGCCCCCAAACUGCUUAAGUCUUCUCUGUCCCUUUACUGCUGCUGCACAGAGAUGAUAUAAAAGAGGCUCUUUGGCUAUUUGCAUUUUGCUUCCUCUUCUUUUCCAGAUUACAGUAUGACGCUUUAUUUUCUUUGUACAAGCUUAAAAUUUCAACAUCAUCAUGCGCCAAAGUUGUUCCUCCCUUUUCGGAGGAUCUAGGGGGAAAGAGGAGCAUUCAUCACAAGUUUCCUAGAGAGAGGAGACAAAUCGGUGUGCUGUUGACAACAUGAGCCAGGG
Molecule: long non-coding RNA, 791 nt
Filed under: Pan troglodytes (chimpanzee)
Lineage: Eukaryota; Metazoa; Chordata; Mammalia; Primates; Hominidae
Description: long non-coding RNA NONPTRT004862
Source: RNAcentral